GCAGACACAGGGCGCAGUGAAGGCGCGCCGUGGCCCCUGAAGCCUACAGGCCUGCGCCGGCUUCCCGGAUAGUUCCAGGGAAGCCGCCUCGGUGGGAACCCCCGCACUCCCCAGGGACCCGAUGACGUCACCGGUGAGGAUGACGUCACGCCCGGAGGUUUCCCUGGUAGGGUUUUCCCAGAUUCUAGAUCCAACCGCCACUGCCACGGAGCCCAGGUACCGCUGGGACCCAAAGCGAACCAGCAGGGGGCGUGCGAAGGCCAGACUCCAAACGCUGAGCCCUGGCGAGAGAUUUGACACCCGCAACCUCCGGGUGUAGGCCACCUCAGCUCGGAAAUGAUUUCAGAGGUCUGUGGAUACCCAAGCGCUGGAGUCUCGGCACGACUGCUGUGAGUCGGGUAAGGGCGUUCCACAUUCUCGAACCCCACAAGCUGCCCUCCUGACACUCCGCUUCAGUAUCCUGCCCUUGGGCCUCUGGGUCUUCCUUGCGCCAGACCAGACGGGCAGCUCCAACUGUCCCUGCAUGCCUUGGCCCUGCCUUUGUUUUGCCCCUGACCAGCUGUGAGGGCGUGGGCCAGGUUUUUCCUUUCCCCCAGUCGCCUCCGCCUGCAGGAUUCCAGCUUCUCCACCUCCUCCACAUACGCAACCCCUCGUGGCUCCUCCACUUCAUCACCAGGCUGCUGUCUGUCCCCGCCUCCCCCCCCACCAUUCCUUUCCAUCUCUGCAGAGAGGAAACGCAGAUGAGAUUUGCAAGCUCGUUCUUGGGCCCACGUGGUCCUGCACUCAGUCACUUGAGUCUGGCAUCUCUAGUUCCCACCUCUCCACAGCCAGGCCAAGAGGGGCAACCUGAGAGAGGUUUGUAGCAAGGAGUCCUACCUCUCCGUUGUGAAGAAUGGCAGGUCAUUCCACCCUCAGGGAACACAAAGGGGACCUCCUUGGAUGCUUUAUACUAGGCGCUUUAACAUACAACCCUUUGGGAUACACAGACAGGAUUGGAGGAGCAAGGGGUUUGUGCAGAUAGCAGAACCUAAUUUGAACCCAGGUUUGGCCACUAAACCUUACCCUGAGUGGGAUGGGGGAAUGGUGCGGCUUGAGCUACUUUAUGGGCCUCAUCUAGAACCCCCGGGACCUUCUUGCCCUUAGCACAUUGAAGGUAGGUGAAUUUACACUCAGUUUUGGGGCUCACAGUCAGUCUGAGCCCCAAGCUGGAAGGAUGCUAGGCCACCCCACUUUCUCCCCAGAUGGCUGUCUGACUCUGGGCCUGCCUUCAGCAUGUGUGACUUGGUGCCCGUGCCAGUCCCUUUCACCGGGCCUGUGUUCUGGAACAGACACCCGCAGGAACAAUAGUUCUGCCCACCCCCUUGACAACCCCGCCAUGAGGCUGCCAUGGCGACACAGCCCAGAUAAAACACGAUGCAGCCAGUCACUAGGAGUUAAUUAAAUCUGUUCUCCUUUUGCUGAGCCCUUAGGAACAGGAAUUUUCAGAGGAAAUUGGCAUUAACCAGAAGUCCCCCUUCUUGGUAGGCCAGAAGCAGCCAUGGAUCAGCAAGGCACUUAUGGGGCUGGGGGUAAUGGGGUUUAGCUGAAUUAGAAAUGCCUGUCAAGAGGCAGCUCCUAUGGCAUAUGUCUGUAGUCCCAAUUACUUAGGGAGCUAAGGCAGGAGGAUCAUUUCAGCCCAAGAGUUUGGAGAAAACCUAGGUAACAAUGAAAUCCCUGCCUCUAAAAAGCUUUUUAUUUUAGUACUAGGAAUUGAACUCACAACUUUGUGCAUGCCAGGCAGGUGCUUAUGCCACUGAGCUAUAUCCCCAGCCCAACUUUUUUUUUUUUUUUUUUUGUCUUUUUGAGACAGGGGCUCGCUACACAGUUCAGGCCGGCCUUGAGCUCACUUUAUAGCCCAGGCUAGUCUCAAACUUCCAACAGUCCUCCUGCCUUAGCCUCCAGAGUGUUGGGAUUACAGGCGUGAGCCACCACACCCAGCAUUCCAGCCCAACUUUUUAAAAAAAUAGUGUCAAGGACCAUUACUAAAUGUGCUUGUUCUUCCUUCCAUACAGAUUAUUUCUUGAAACAGGGUCUUGCUAUGUAAUUCAGGCCAGCCUUGAAGUAUGUAGCCUAGGCUGCUCUCAAACUUGUAGCAAUCCUCCUGCACCAGGAUUCCAAAUGCUGGGAUUACAGGCAUGUACCACCACACCCGGCCCAUCCAUUCAUUAUCCCAUAUGAUCAUCACCACCACCUAGUCACUGCCGGUCGUGCCAACUUGAUGGAUGAGGAGAAAGAAGGAAAUUACUCACCCCAGAUCAUAUACCUAAUAAGGAGAAGAGCUAAGAUAUAGCUGGCAUCUGAAUUUAAAUUCUAUGUCCACUUUCUCUGUGUGACAAAUGAGAUGUAUAUGAAAAGUCCAGCAUUUAUGAGCAUAUUCAUAAGGACUUGGCAGCUGUGUGGGAACUGGGCAGUAUGGCCAGCUAGUAGCCAAAAGUACGCAUUCCUGUUCUUCCACUAAGGCCCUGGAGUGCCUGACCACUGCUCACUGCUGCCUUGGACUAGCUCAGGCUGGGAAAAGGCUGUGCUGAAUGAAAGAAUGGCAGCUCCAGGCUUAACAAGGAACCAGGCAGGGUUUGUGGCCUGAGGAUGCCCAUUUUAGCAGGCUGAGCUUAGGCCAGACUGGCACAAGCCACACCCCAAAUCUACUUGGUGCCAUUGAUACCCCUCAGCUAAGAGGUAACUAUCACUGUCACAUUUUAUAGAUUGGUCAGAGAAAGGCGGCCUCUUGCAUGGGGUUUCAAGGCUGAGCAGGCUCUCUGACACCUAGCUUGAGGGGUAGAGAUUUCAUGCUAACCACUGUCUUAUUUCUGCUGUGGCUACCACAGCCCUGCAGGGCUACAGUCUGGCCUGAAGCUUCCUUCCUUGUUACUCAGAAUAUAAUAAUCUAUUCCACUACAGGUGUUUAGUAAUAUAGGCACUGAAAGAUUCUUUCAAAAUGCUCUACUGACCAGGCUAAACUUCUUGAUGCCUCCCCAUAAGGCUGUGCCCCUUUGCUGCUUCACACCUCUGGGUAUGUUCUUGCCCCUGUCUGGGGACCCCUCAGACUCACAGCCUCUUAGCUUGAAGCCAUUUGCCCAACCCCUCCAGAUGGCCAGGAGCAAACACCUGCCACAUGUCCAACUAUGCUAUUUGACAGCUGUGCCCUUCAGAUGGACUUACACAUAAGCCUACCAUCUUACUAUGUUUUGCUUCUAUUUUCUUUCAUUCUUGCAGGUCAUGUGAACAUUCCUUGGGAUUCCAUCUUGAUUUAUAUACUGUGUUUUUGAGCAUGACCGUGUAUAGUUUUUGGCCAUACUCACUGAGAACACAGUAGGGGAAUGAAAGCAAGACCCUGGAUGUUUUAUAACCUCCACGCUGCCUCAGUUUCCUCAUCAGUAUGCAUGGGCAAGGUUGAGCUAAUCUAUUGCAGAAGGCGCAGAAGUGAGCAACAGACCUUAGCUUUGAUGAUGGUCUGCCUGAGGGCUGAACACCACAAUGUCCUAGGAAGGAGUCUUUCCAUUUCACUGAUGAGAAUACUUGGCUCAAAGAGAUUAAGCAACAUCCAAGGGCCAUAGGUUUUGUAUUCUAGGGCCUAGCUGCAUUGCUGACUACACCUACUGCAUUGCUUCUCUGCAUAAAGAAUCCUGGCCCUUCAACUUUAGAUCCCAAAGACCUGCUACUAGGUUCUUUAUCUCAGCAAAGGGAUCAUCAUUUAUCCCACCUGCCAAAUCCUCAGUGCACAGUGUCUGCAUCUGUCUAUGUCCUUGGGUUGUCCCACCACUGGCCUUUGGUAGUCAGGCCACAUCCCAUCUCACAUAGAGUCCUACUAUCAUGGUUGUCACGUGCCAGACCUUUCACAGCCUUCCCACUCUCCAUGCUGCCCAUUUCCCCUAGGCCUUCUCCUGCCCAAACCCUCUAGUUCCUCAUGGCUGCAGAAGACAGUCCUGCCUUCCACAUGGUUCAGAUGGAUGCCUUUCAAAUUUUCGUAAGCACGCAAGUUAUAUGAAUGGCUUGUCAGGGCCAGGCCCUACUUUGGACUCCAGUGUUUGCUUCAGUAGGUCGGGGGGGGGGGGGGCGGGGAUUGCAUGUCUAACAAACUCCCAGCAGAUGGUGGACCAAGACCUAAAUUGUACCCUCUAGAAUGAGUCCCUGCCAAGGCCCCUUGCCUCCUUGCACAUUCCUGGAGAAGUCAUUCCUGAGCCACUUUACCUGCCCCGGGCUGGAUAAGAAUGAAACUCAGUGAUCUCAGACUGUUCAGAAAUGGCCUGUGUCCAACAGAGGCUGCCUCUGCCUUGAUCACCUGGCAUAUGGACUUGUUUGGUGCUAGCUAUGGGAUAGGGAAAACUUCAGGAGCUGGGUUGCCAUCCACAUCAUUCCUGGGAAAUGUCUGAAAUUUGCCACCAAGUCACUGAGCAAGAAGCCAUCACCCAGCAUUCCGCCCUCACAGCAAACUGGGAACUAUAUAUGUGGACAAAAGGAAAAAGACAACCUAGCAGCACAGACCAGGGACUUCGGGGGAAGGAAAUCCUAGGUUUCAGGUGCUGUGGUGACCCAGUGGAGUCCUGGAUCAAGGCUUGGGCUUGCUGGCACUCGGGUGAGGAGAAAGAGACUCAGACUCACAAAGACGAGGAAGGACACAGGAAAGUGUGGUGCGGUGUGAGGAUAGGGUGGAGGAGAGCUGAAGUUUCUUCACCUGUAGGACAAAGGAUGACGAGACCGGCCUGGCAGCGCCAAGGAAGGAGCAUGAUUGAUGAAGAUUGUGAUAACAUCCAAGGCCAACAUAGACAGCUGAAUGUGACUGACAAGACACCAGCACCGCGCAGCCGAGAGGCUCAACUGUGAAAACUGGCCCAUGGGAAUACACCGUAUGCAGUUGGGGUGGCCCACCAACACUACCCUCACCUUACCACAGACCAAAGGCCUCACUCCUGACUUUCAGCUUGAACACAGCUCAUGGAUACAUUUUGUUGGCCUACAGCCUGUUUUUAAAAUCUUCUGAAACCAUCUGAAAACCAGAUUUUAUGGAAAGGC
Cavia porcellus (domestic guinea pig) is the source of this 5049-nucleotide long non-coding RNA. RefSeq lists it as uncharacterized. The transcript has 2 exons. The record is from RefSeq and is a predicted model, not a curated record. NCBI's taxonomy places the organism in Eukaryota, Metazoa, Chordata, Mammalia, Rodentia, Caviidae.